This 468-nucleotide ribosomal RNA is filed under the name uncultured bacterium. RNAcentral's name for it is "partial 16S ribosomal RNA". It matches the Rfam family "Bacterial small subunit ribosomal RNA", at positions 28 to 507 of the family's 1533-position model. The record is from RNAcentral.
GACGAACGCUGGCGGCGUGCUUAACACAUGCAAGUCGAACGGAAAGGCCCUGCUCUUGUGGGGUGCUCGAGUGGCGAACGGGUGAGUAACACGUGAGUAACCUGCCCUUGACUUUGGGAUAACUUCAGGAAACUGGGGCUAAUACCGGAUAGGAGCUCCUGCUGCAUGGUGGGGGUUGGAAAGUUUCGGCGGUUGGGGAUGGACUCGCGGCUUAUCAGCUUGUUGGUGGGGUAGUGGCUUACCAAGGCUUUGACGGGUAGCCGGCCUGAGAGGGUGACCGGCCACAUUGGGACUGGGAUACGGCCCAGACUCCUACGGGAGGCAGCGGUGGGGAUUAUUGCACAAUGGGCGGAAGCCUGAUGCAGCAACGCCGCGUGCGGGAUGACGGCCUUCGGGUUGUAAACCGCUUUCGCCUGUGACGAAGCGUGAGUGACGGUAAUGGGUAAAGAAGCACCGGCUAACUACGUG